Molecule: ribosomal RNA, 424 nt
Filed under: uncultured bacterium
Lineage: Bacteria
Description: bacterial SSU rRNA
Rfam family: Bacterial small subunit ribosomal RNA
Source: RNAcentral
UUGGGAAUCUUGGACAAUGGGGGAAACCCUGAUCCAGCCAUGCCGCGUGAGUGAUGAAGGCCUUCGGGUUGUAAAGCUCUUUUACCCGGGAAGAUAAUGACUGUACCGGGAGAAUAAGCUCCGGCUAACUUCGUGCCAGCAGCCGCGGUAAUACGAAGGGGGCUAGCGUUGUUCGGAAUUACUGGGCGUAAAGCGCGCGCAGGCGGUUUCUCAAGUCAGUGGUGAAAGCCCGGAGCUCAACUCCGGAACUGCCAUUGAAACUGUGAGACUUGAGGACGAGAGAGGUGAGUGGAAUUCCCAGUGUAGAGGUGAAAUUCGUAGAUAUUGGGAAGAACACCGGUGGCGAAGGCGGCUCACUGGCUCGUUUCUGACGCUCAGGCGCGACAGCGUGGGGAUCAAACAGGAUUAGAUACCCCCGUAGUCC